GGAGUUGUAGCUCAGUGGUAGAGCACUUGCCUAGCAGGAGUUAAGCACUGGGUUUGAUCCUCAACACCA
Molecule: transfer RNA, 69 nt
Filed under: Marmota monax (woodchuck)
Lineage: Eukaryota; Metazoa; Chordata; Mammalia; Rodentia; Sciuridae
Rfam family: tRNA
About the family: Transfer RNA (tRNA) molecules are approximately 80 nucleotides in length. Their secondary structure includes four short double-helical elements and three loops (D, anti-codon, and T loops).
Source: Rfam by way of RNAcentral